CUCGGUGACUUUAUCUAGAGGGUCACACUCGUUCCCAUUCCGAACACGACCGUUAAGCCUCUGGAGCCGAUGAUAGUGCCGAAAGGUGCGAAAGUAGGUUAUUGCCGGGA
Ribosomal RNA from Planctomyces sp. SH-PL14, 110 nucleotides. NCBI's taxonomy places the organism in Bacteria, Pseudomonadati, Planctomycetota, Planctomycetia, Planctomycetales, Planctomycetaceae. The record is from Rfam.